RNAcentral lists this ribosomal RNA (484 nucleotides) under uncultured bacterium. RNAcentral's name for it is "partial 16S ribosomal RNA". It matches the Rfam family "Bacterial small subunit ribosomal RNA", at positions 30 to 507 of the family's 1533-position model. The record is from RNAcentral.
AUUGAACGCUGGCGGCAGGCCUAACACAUGCAAGUCGAGCGGAUGAAGGGAGCUUGCGCCUCGAUUCAGUGGGCGACGGGCGAGUAAUGCCUAGGAGGCUGCCUUGCAUUUAGGGAUAACGUCCGGUAACGGGCGCUGAUACCGCAUCCGUCCAGAUGUUGAACGUGAGGGAUCUUCGGACCUCACGCGAUUAGAUGAGCCUAGGUCGGAUUAGCUAGUUGGUGGGGUAAAGGCCUACCAAGGCGACGAUCCGUAACUGGUCUGAGAGGGUGAUCAGACACACUGGAACUGAGACACGGUCCAGACUCCUACGGGAGGCAGCAGUGGGGAAUCUUCGACAAUGGGCGAAAGCCUGACCCAGCAACGCCGCGUGUGUGAUGAAGGUCUUCGGAUUGUAAAGCUCUUUUAUUUGGGAGGAACAGAAGUAAGUUAAUCCGUUGCUAUUUUGACGUUACCAACAGAAUAAGCCCCGGCUAACUUCGUG